This 482-nucleotide ribosomal RNA is filed under the name uncultured bacterium. Its description in RNAcentral is "partial 16S ribosomal RNA". It matches the Rfam family "Bacterial small subunit ribosomal RNA", at positions 30 to 507 of the family's 1533-position model. The record is from RNAcentral.
AUUGAACGCUGGCGGCAUGCCUUACACAUGCAAGUCGAACGGUAACGGGCCUUCGGGUGCCGACGAGUGGCGAACGGGUGAGUAAUACAUCGGAACGUGCCCGAUCGUGGGGGAUAACGAGGCGAAAGCUUUGCUAAUACCGCAUACGAUCUACGGAUGUAAGCAGGGGACCGCAAGGCCUUGCGCGGACGGAGCGGCCGAUGGCAGCUUAGGUAGUUGGUGGGAUAAAAGCUUACCAAGCCGACGAUCUGUAGCUGGUCUGAGAGGGUGAUCAGCCACACGGGUACUGAGACACGGCCCAGACUCCUACGGGAGGCAGCAGUAGGGAAUUUUGGACAAUGGGCGCAAGCCUGAUCCAGCCAUGCCGCGUGCAGGAUGAAGGCCUUCGGGUUGUAAACUGCUUUUGUACGGAACGAAAAGCCUUCUUUUAAUACAGGAGGGUCAUGACGGUACCGUAAGAAUAAGCACCGGCUAACUACGUG